Long non-coding RNA from Ipomoea triloba (trilobed morning glory), 656 nucleotides. RefSeq lists it as uncharacterized. The record is from RefSeq and is a predicted model, not a curated record. NCBI's taxonomy places the organism in Eukaryota, Viridiplantae, Streptophyta, Magnoliopsida, Solanales, Convolvulaceae. The transcript has 4 exons.
CCGGAACGGCGUCGGCGUCGGUGUCGGCGUCAUAUCCACCACCGUAACUCAGCUCGCUCGCCGUCAUCCACCGCUAGAUCUGGUGAAGCAGGAAAGCCAGCAGCUAGGCAAGCAAUAAUAAUAGAAGUGCUAUUACCAGGUUCAAGAACAGUAGCAUAUAUUUAAGUUCUGUUACUGGACCUUCUGCUCCGACCCGACUGAGAUGGAUCAGACCCGGCCAUCAGCAUCAGAGUUCACACUUCACACACUGAAACUCCAAAGGUGACACCGAUCUAUAUAAUGAGUGAAUGAUGAGUGGAGAUUAAUGGAUGAAUGAGGUGAUGAGUGACAGACAGUAUCGACAGUGUGAAUUGACUUAAUUAUCCAACAUGUUCCAUUUCUUUAAAGGAUUUCAUUGGAAAGGAUAUGAUGAAGAUUUUGAGAUGAUUGAAGAAUCUGGAAGGAAGUAAGGCAAAGGUGCUGUUGUAGGUGUAAAGAUGUGUCUUAUGGAUGACUUGAAUAAAAUUAAAGUUCCUAAGAAAUUUAAAACUGAUCUGAUAAUAAAGAAAGAAAAUCAUUAAUUUUGGUGUUUUGUUUUCUUACGUUGUAUACUUUAUUAGUAUUGGACUGCUUAUGUUUUUUGUUCUUGAUUUGUUCCAGACUAUGAUAUUUUUCGA